GUCAUCAACAUUAUCCCCUCUGCCAAGCACAAUACUUUACAACUCAAAUCAAACCAUUAAUGAAAACUCAAGUUCAGAGACUAGCCCUAACUUUUUCCCUGGAGAUUUUUCAAAAAUCUCACAGCUGCAGCAGCCUGGAAUUACUCAACAGCCAACAAGUCCACAUGCGUAUGGCAACAAUGUCUGCAGCAACCAAAUAGUCCCAAACGACAGUUACUAUGUGGACUGUUGUGGCUUUGACAUGGAAGGUUACAGUCUAACUGAUCCAAUAGCAGAAAUGAGCUCUUAUGACAUAUCCUCGUCCGAAUGCCAGAUGGCUGAAGCUGAUUGGAUGUCCAAUGACAUGUCAGAUGCUUUGUGGAGCAUGGAUGACAUAUGGCAGCUUAGGGAGUAAGCAUAAGCAGAGAUGAGCACAAAGAUAGG
This 423-nucleotide long non-coding RNA is filed under the name Citrus sinensis (sweet orange). RNAcentral's name for it is "long non-coding RNA (CSIN_LNC000647)". Lineage: Eukaryota; Viridiplantae; Streptophyta; Magnoliopsida; Sapindales; Rutaceae. The record is from RNAcentral.